CGCCCUACGAUCCCGACGUGCCCCCUGCAGGGUCUGGAUCGAAGGCCACUCCAACACCUCAGUACUCCCACGGGAACGUCAACGGAGCAGGAAGAAGAACUCUGGCCUUUGCCGUCGCCGUUGUAGCAAUCGCUCUGACACUGGUUCCUGAGAUCUUUUGAAUCGGUCCCGGGCCUGUAAAUUACUCCUGCAUGGCAAAGGCUGAGGCCAGUUAAGAUUCAAUGAAAAUGGAGGGUCUCAUCAUAUAUUUAAUAUAAGCACGAGUGAGAACCUUCCA
Triticum aestivum (bread wheat) is the source of this 277-nucleotide long non-coding RNA. RefSeq lists it as uncharacterized. Lineage: Eukaryota; Viridiplantae; Streptophyta; Magnoliopsida; Poales; Poaceae. The transcript has 2 exons. The record is from RefSeq and is a predicted model, not a curated record.